RNAcentral lists this ribosomal RNA (315 nucleotides) under Triticum aestivum (bread wheat). Its description in RNAcentral is "partial small subunit ribosomal RNA". Lineage: Eukaryota; Viridiplantae; Streptophyta; Magnoliopsida; Poales; Poaceae. The record is from RNAcentral.
AUGCCAGGGGCUCAACCAGUGAAUAUACGCCCGUACAGGCACAAGCCAGAACUCAAGUCAGAAAUUGAACGACAGGUUGAAGAUUUGCUGAAUUCAGGAGUGAUUCAACGCAGCACCAGCAGUUUCUCGUCUCCGGUCAUUUUGGUCAAAAAGAAGGAUGGCACUUGGCGCCUAUGCGUCGACUACAGGCAUCUCAAUGCAAUGAUGUGUGUUAGCAAAUUCCCGGUGCCUAUUAUCGAGGAGUUAUUGGAUGAACUGCAUGGAGCACGCUGGUUCUCCAAGCUCGAUCUCCGAGCGGGGUAUCAUCAGAUAUGA